UGGGGAAUCUUCCGCAAUGGACGAAAGUCUGACGGAGCAACGCCGCGUGAGCGAUGAAGGCCUUCGGGUCGUAAAGCUCUGUUGUUAGGGAAGAAUAAGUGCUAGUUGAAUAAGCUGGCACCUUGACGGUACCUAACCAGAAAGCCACGGCUAACUACGUGCCAGCAGCCGCGGUAAUACGUAGGUGGCAAGCGUUGUCCGGAAUUAUUGGGCGUAAAGCGCGCGCAGGCGGUUUCUUAAGUCUGAUGUGAAAGCCCCCGGCUCAACCGGGGAGGGUCAUUGGAAACUGGGAAACUUGAGUGCAGAAGAGGAAAGUGGAAUUCCAAGUGUAGCGGUGAAAUGCGUAGAGAUGUGGAGGAACACCAGUGGCGAAGGCGACUUUCUGGUCUGUAACUGACGCUGAGGCGCGAAAGCGUGGGGAGCAAACA
Molecule: ribosomal RNA, 428 nt
Filed under: uncultured bacterium
Lineage: Bacteria
Description: bacterial SSU rRNA
Rfam family: Bacterial small subunit ribosomal RNA
Source: RNAcentral